ACACUCGUCCGUGCAGCUGGCAGGCCAAGAACCGCUCACUCCAGCUCUGCCUCGUAGAGCAGAAGCAGCUUUGCCAGGACCUCCUCCCCCACCCCAGGAGCUGUUCCUCUUGCCCUCCAUGGAGAUCCCAAAUAAGGCAGCCCAAAGCCAAGCUAGAGGAAGAUAAAGGAGGAGCUCAAAGAAGGGGCUCGUUCCAGCUGCGUGGUGCUGUGUGUUUUUAAAGGAGAGAAAACAGAAUUAGAAGAAUGCCUUUUCUCUUUCAGAGACAACCACAAGCAAAAUUACCCAGGCUUUCCCACCUUCAGACGAUUUUUUUUUCCCCCUAACAGGACUUAGAACAUAGGGAAGAAGGUUCAAGCUUUGCUUGACAUCCAGUCACUCUCCCCACUUUCCGCUUGAUGGAGCAGGUCUACACCCGCUGUGGCUUCUCAACAUCAGGGGAACUGACUCAACACCCGAUGCGUGCACGUGUUUUUCACAAGGGAAGCUGGGAGGUACAAUCUCUGUACAAGAUAAUCUCUGGCAUCGUCACACUUGAGAAGCUGAAGAAGCUGUGAAGUCACCAUCACCCAUUCCAAAAUCCUAAGCCUAAGAGAAGCCAAUGACGAAAUUCUUGUGACAUCGCAAAACAGAUCAAUGGUGGUGAAAAUGCGUGACAUAUACAGGUGCCAUGGGACCUACCUCAUUGAUAAGUGUACUGUGAAUUGUGUUCAGCUCAAGGCUUCCUCCCACAGUGGAAGCACCUCCUCUUCUCAGAGGCUCCAUGACCCCAUCCCAUUCAUAAACCAGAGCCUGAGCUUAUGAAUGAAUCACACACAGAGCUGAGAAGUCUCACAGAGAGGACUCCUGACCCUCUGCCCUCACUCCAUCCCCCCUACAAUCUAAUUCAUCAAAUCUGGUUACUGGUUUCAAGUCUAACUUUAAGUUAAUUUUGGAUAUACUACUUCUCACUCCAAAGUAGAAAAGAGCUGGAGUGCUUCCUAGUUAGAGGAAAUAAUCAUGGAAGUGUUUCUUAGAGUUAAUCAAAGGUACUCUUCUUUCCUAUAUUAAAAUACGCAAAAUUAAAUUA
This 1069-nucleotide long non-coding RNA is filed under the name Bos taurus (domestic cattle). RNAcentral describes it as "long non-coding RNA NONBTAT015713". Lineage: Eukaryota; Metazoa; Chordata; Mammalia; Artiodactyla; Bovidae. The record is from RNAcentral.